GCCGAUGUAGCUCAGUUGGUAGAGCGCGUCCUUGGUAAGGACGAGGUCACCGGUUCAAUUCCGGUCAUCGGCUCCA
RNAcentral lists this transfer RNA (76 nucleotides) under Acidobacteria bacterium RIFCSPLOWO2_02_FULL_61_28. RNAcentral describes it as "tRNA-Thr". It matches the Rfam family "tRNA". Rfam says of the family: Transfer RNA (tRNA) molecules are approximately 80 nucleotides in length. Their secondary structure includes four short double-helical elements and three loops (D, anti-codon, and T loops). Further hydrogen bonds mediate the characteristic L-shaped molecular structure. tRNAs have two regions of fundamental functional importance: the anti-codon, which is responsible for specific mRNA codon recognition, and the 3' end, to which the tRNAs corresponding amino acid is attached (by aminoacyl-tRNA synthetases). tRNAs cope with the degeneracy of the genetic code in two manners: having more than one tRNA (with a specific anti-codon) for a particular amino acid; and 'wobble' base-pairing, i.e. permitting non-standard base-pairing at the 3rd anti-codon position. RNAcentral also lists the same sequence under 2 other names. The record is from RNAcentral. Lineage: Bacteria; Pseudomonadati; Acidobacteriota.